Small nuclear RNA from Stegodyphus dumicola, 106 nucleotides. NCBI's taxonomy places the organism in Eukaryota, Metazoa, Arthropoda, Arachnida, Araneae, Eresidae. The record is from RefSeq and is a predicted model, not a curated record.
GUACUUGCUUUGGCAGUACAUAUACUAAAAUUGAAACGAUACAGAGAAGAUUAGCAUGGACCCUGCGCAAAGGAUGACACUUUUAGCAUAGCAUACAGAAAUUACU